CNCGUUAGCUCCAGGAAACGUGGACGGUUCGACCUAACCGGUAACGGAAGGGGCGGUCCCCAAGGAGUGACUGGUAACUGGGGUG
Molecule: ribosomal RNA, 85 nt
Filed under: uncultured bacterium
Lineage: Bacteria
Description: partial 16S ribosomal RNA
Source: RNAcentral